This 164-nucleotide ribosomal RNA is filed under the name Scheffersomyces stipitis. RNAcentral describes it as "5.8S ribosomal RNA". It matches the Rfam family "5.8S ribosomal RNA". Rfam says of the family: 5.8S ribosomal RNA (5.8S rRNA) is a component of the large subunit of the eukaryotic ribosome. It is transcribed by RNA polymerase I as part of the 45S precursor that also contains 18S and 28S rRNA. Functionally, it is thought that 5.8S rRNA may be involved in ribosome translocation. Lineage: Eukaryota; Fungi; Ascomycota; Pichiomycetes; Serinales; Debaryomycetaceae. RNAcentral also lists the same sequence under 7 other names. The record is from RNAcentral.
AAAACUUUCAACAACGGAUCUCUUGGUUCUCGCAUCGAUGAAGAACGCAGCGAAAUGCGAUAAGUAAUAUGAAUUGCAGAUUUUCGUGAAUCAUCGAAUCUUUGAACGCACAUUGCGCCCUUUGGUAUUCCAAAGGGCAUGCCUGUUUGAGCGUCAUUUCUCUC